RNAcentral lists this ribosomal RNA (307 nucleotides) under Amoebophrya sp. Its description in RNAcentral is "SSU rRNA". It matches the Rfam family "Eukaryotic small subunit ribosomal RNA", at positions 595 to 906 of the family's 1831-position model. Lineage: Eukaryota; Dinophyceae; Syndiniales; Amoebophryaceae. The record is from RNAcentral.
UAGCGUAUAUUAAAGUUGUUGCGGUUAAAAAGCUCGUAGUUGGAUUUCUGUUGAGAGCAAUCGGUCCGCUCUCUGGGCGUGCAUCUGAUUUGAUCUCGGCAUCCUCUCAAAAUACGUUUCUGCGCUUAAUUGCGUGGAGCGGAGUUUGAGACUUUUACUUUGAGGAAAUUAGAGUGUUCACGGCAGGCAUACGCCUUGAAUAUAUUAGCAUGGAAUAAUAAUAUAGGAUUUUGGUUCUAUUUUGUUGGUUUCUAGAGCUAAAAUAAUGAUUAAUAGGGACAAUUGGGGGCAUUCGUAUUAACACGUC